This is a long non-coding RNA of Mytilus californianus (California mussel), 11116 nucleotides long. RefSeq lists it as uncharacterized. Lineage: Eukaryota; Metazoa; Mollusca; Bivalvia; Mytilida; Mytilidae. The record is from RefSeq and is a predicted model, not a curated record. The transcript is spliced from 3 exons.
UCAAUAAAAAGUUGAUUAAGUGCAAGUAGAAUAAAAACAGCCCUUAAAUUUCACCCCUGGGAGUGAAAAUUGCUGAUUCAGCAAAUUUUGCCUGAUCUGUGGGUAAUAAUGUUAAAAUUUACCAAGAAAGUAAAAUUUCUUUAUUUUUAAGUAACUUGCAAUACAUUUUAAAUUAUAAAGUUUCGCUUUAACUUUUCGCAGUGUCUGACACAUGUGCAACAACUGGAAUUUGAGACGCGACAUAUUUUAGUUGCCUGUACGUCCUAUAAUUUUCACCGUAAUAAAUAAAGUGCAUAAUUUCUCAUUUUUUUCCACACAAGUACAGCUAUACUAGUUUUCUUCAGGUUUAAUUUGUAGUUCUGUGGUAACAUGACACCAGUAAGAGCUUUUUUGGAACUAGUAAGUGGUUAAGGGGUCCUUACUUAUUCAUUUAGCCCUCAUAUUUAGCUGAAAUAGGGAUAGCGUUAGGGGUUUCUUUACAUUGACAAGACAAUUUUUUGGACAAAGAAUGUGAUUAUGAUUGUAUAUCAGCAAGAUUAAAUAGUUUAUUCAUUUUCCAUGCAAAUGGCAUUAAUUGUUUUAAUUUUCUGACACUGAAAAGCACAAAAAAGGUAAAUUGAUUAUAUAAGGGGACAUAAUUUAACUUUAAUGCUCACAUGAGAAAUAGACAAUCAGUCAACUUAGAGAUGUAUUCUAGUACAUGUAUAGUCAAAAAGAUUUUAGAAUAAUAGUUAACUGCCAUCUAAAGAACCUUGUUGUAUUGCCUUCAUAAUCUGGAAAUGCUUAAAGGAAUGUAAGGCAUGCUGUAAAAUGUGGAAUGGACUCUACUAUCAUUUUUCAUGAUUUGGUGCUUAAACUGUUUCUUUCAGUCAGAUUAACUAUAAAUAGAGUUGGCAAUCCAAUAACUCCUCCUUAAUCACCAUGUUUUACUUCUGUGUUGAUUUGAAACAUCAUAUAUUUGGGUUUUGUUCACUCCUUAAGUAAAAAUGGUAAGAUGAAAAAAAAGUGAAAAUCUGCCAGCUGGGGUAGGGGUAUAAUCUUUAAUAUUUAUUUGGUAAGAAAUAAGUGCAGACUAGUAUUCUUUAUUGUAAUAUGUUUCCUAGUAAGAAGUCUAUGCAUCAUAGGUGUCAUGACUGUUUUCAAGUUUGUGAUGUCUUGGUUAAGGUAGCACGGUAGUAUUUGCAUUCCGGAAUUUAGGUUGCUCUUUUGUGUACCCUACCUAAGUCAAUGUAUCUGAACAGUGUGAUUGGACAAAAAAUACAGUAUCAACUGAACAUACUUUCCCAAACUGAGGGAUGAAUCAGAUGUAGAAAAAUGUGAAAUAAUUUUACAUACAGGUGAAAAUGAAUUUUUGAGAAUUUUUUUAAUUUUUGUAUUCACUGCAUGAUAAAAGACCUAAAAGCACUAGUGGCCUUAGGUUUUUAAAAAUAGCAAAAAAAGUAAACGGUCAUGAUACAUAUUCAAAUUUAUUUCUGAUUAGUAUAAUGAAAGUACUUCAGUUAACUGUGUAAGUAGAAUUUUUCGCAGUGUUAGAAAGUGGUGAAAAUCCUAAAAAGGCUAUCAUUAUCCCUUAUGGGCCAGGAAAUGCUACCGUGCCACCUUAACUGGGAUAUAUAUGUUUACACUAAAUCAAUAAAGGUAUUUUUUUUACCUAUGCAAUUUGUAAUAUUAUCAAUAAAAAGUUGAUUAAGUGCAAGUAGAAUAAAAACAGCCCUUAAAUUUCACCCCUGGGAGUGAAAAUUGCUGAUUCAGCAAAUUUUGCCUGAUCUGUGGGUAAUAAUGUUAAAAUUUACCAAGAAAGUAAAAUUUCUUUAUUUUUAAGUAACUUGCAAUACAUUUUAAAUUAUAAAGUUUCGCUUUAACUUUUCGCAGUGUCUGACACAUGUGCAACAACUGGAAUUUGAGACGCGACAUAUUUUAGUUGCCUGUACGUCCUAUAAUUUUCACCGUAAUAAAUAAAGUGCAUAAUUUCUCAUUUUUUUCCACACAAGUACAGCUAUACUAGUUUUCUUCAGGUUUAAUUUGUAGUUCUGUGGUAACAUGACACCAGUAAGAGCUUUUUUGGAACUAGUAAGUGGUUAAGGGGUCCUUACUUAUUCAUUUAGCCCUCAUAUUUAGCUGAAAUAGGGAUAGCGUUAGGGGUUUCUUUACAUUGACAAGACAAUUUUUUGGACAAAGAAUGUGAUUAUGAUUGUAUAUCAGCAAGAUUAAAUAGUUUAUUCAUUUUCCAUGCAAAUGGCAUUAAUUGUUUUAAUUUUCUGACACUGAAAAGCACAAAAAAGGUAAAUUGAUUAUAUAAGGGGACAUAAUUUAACUUUAAUGCUCACAUGAGAAAUAGACAAUCAGUCAACUUAGAGAUGUAUUCUAGUACAUGUAUAGUCAAAAAGAUUUUAGAAUAAUAGUUAACUGCCAUCUAAAGAACCUUGUUGUAUUGCCUUCAUAAUCUGGAAAUGCUUAAAGGAAUGUAAGGCAUGCUGUAAAAUGUGGAAUGGACUCUACUAUCAUUUUUCAUGAUUUGGUGCUUAAACUGUUUCUUUCAGUCAGAUUAACUAUAAAUAGAGUUGGCAAUCCAAUAACUCCUCCUUAAUCACCAUGUUUUACUUCUGUGUUGAUUUGAAACAUCAUAUAUUUGGGUUUUGUUCACUCCUUAAGUAAAAAUGGUAAGAUGAAAAAAAAGUGAAAAUCUGCCAGCUGGGGUAGGGGUAUAAUCUUUAAUAUUUAUUUGGUAAGAAAUAAGUGCAGACUAGUAUUCUUUAUUGUAAUAUGUUUCCUAGUAAGAAGUCUAUGCAUCAUAGGUGUCAUGACUGUUUUCAAGUUUGUGAUGUCUUGGUUAAGGUAGCACGGUAGUAUUUGCAUUCCGGAAUUUAGGUUGCUCUUUUGUGUACCCUACCUAAGUCAAUGUAUCUGAACAGUGUGAUUGGACAAAAAAUACAGUAUCAACUGAACAUACUUUCCCAAACUGAGGGAUGAAUCAGAUGUAGAAAAAUGUGAAAUAAUUUUACAUACAGGUGAAAAUGAAUUUUUGAGAAUUUUUUUAAUUUUUGUAUUCACUGCAUGAUAAAAGACCUAAAAGCACUAGUGGCCUUAGGUUUUUAAAAAUAGCAAAAAAAGUAAACGGUCAUGAUACAUAUUCAAAUUUAUUUCUGAUUAGUAUAAUGAAAGUACUUCAGUUAACUGUGUAAGUAGAAUUUUUCGCAGUGUUAGAAAGUGGUGAAAAUCCUAAAAAGGCUAUCAUUAUCCCUUAUGGGCCAGGAAAUGCUACCGUGCCACCUUAACUGGGAUAUAUAUGUUUACACUAAAUCAAUAAAGGUAUUUUUUUUACCUAUGCAAUUUGUAAUAUUAUCAAUAAAAAGUUGAUUAAGUGCAAGUAGAAUAAAAACAGCCCUUAAAUUUCACCCCUGGGAGUGAAAAUUGCUGAUUCAGCAAAUUUUGCCUGAUCUGUGGGUAAUAAUGUUAAAAUUUACCAAGAAAGUAAAAUUUCUUUAUUUUUAAGUAACUUGCAAUACAUUUUAAAUUAUAAAGUUUCGCUUUAACUUUUCGCAGUGUCUGACACAUGUGCAACAACUGGAAUUUGAGACGCGACAUAUUUUAGUUGCCUGUACGUCCUAUAAUUUUCACCGUAAUAAAUAAAGUGCAUAAUUUCUCAUUUUUUUCCACACAAGUACAGCUAUACUAGUUUUCUUCAGGUUUAAUUUGUAGUUCUGUGGUAACAUGACACCAGUAAGAGCUUUUUUGGAACUAGUAAGUGGUUAAGGGGUCCUUACUUAUUCAUUUAGCCCUCAUAUUUAGCUGAAAUAGGGAUAGCGUUAGGGGUUUCUUUACAUUGACAAGACAAUUUUUUGGACAAAGAAUGUGAUUAUGAUUGUAUAUCAGCAAGAUUAAAUAGUUUAUUCAUUUUCCAUGCAAAUGGCAUUAAUUGUUUUAAUUUUCUGACACUGAAAAGCACAAAAAAGGUAAAUUGAUUAUAUAAGGGGACAUAAUUUAACUUUAAUGCUCACAUGAGAAAUAGACAAUCAGUCAACUUAGAGAUGUAUUCUAGUACAUGUAUAGUCAAAAAGAUUUUAGAAUAAUAGUUAACUGCCAUCUAAAGAACCUUGUUGUAUUGCCUUCAUAAUCUGGAAAUGCUUAAAGGAAUGUAAGGCAUGCUGUAAAAUGUGGAAUGGACUCUACUAUCAUUUUUCAUGAUUUGGUGCUUAAACUGUUUCUUUCAGUCAGAUUAACUAUAAAUAGAGUUGGCAAUCCAAUAACUCCUCCUUAAUCACCAUGUUUUACUUCUGUGUUGAUUUGAAACAUCAUAUAUUUGGGUUUUGUUCACUCCUUAAGUAAAAAUGGUAAGAUGAAAAAAAAGUGAAAAUCUGCCAGCUGGGGUAGGGGUAUAAUCUUUAAUAUUUAUUUGGUAAGAAAUAAGUGCAGACUAGUAUUCUUUAUUGUAAUAUGUUUCCUAGUAAGAAGUCUAUGCAUCAUAGGUGUCAUGACUGUUUUCAAGUUUGUGAUGUCUUGGUUAAGGUAGCACGGUAGUAUUUGCAUUCCGGAAUUUAGGUUGCUCUUUUGUGUACCCUACCUAAGUCAAUGUAUCUGAACAGUGUGAUUGGACAAAAAAUACAGUAUCAACUGAACAUACUUUCCCAAACUGAGGGAUGAAUCAGAUGUAGAAAAAUGUGAAAUAAUUUUACAUACAGGUGAAAAUGAAUUUUUGAGAAUUUUUUUAAUUUUUGUAUUCACUGCAUGAUAAAAGACCUAAAAGCACUAGUGGCCUUAGGUUUUUAAAAAUAGCAAAAAAAGUAAACGGUCAUGAUACAUAUUCAAAUUUAUUUCUGAUUAGUAUAAUGAAAGUACUUCAGUUAACUGUGUAAGUAGAAUUUUUCGCAGUGUUAGAAAGUGGUGAAAAUCCUAAAAAGGCUAUCAUUAUCCCUUAUGGGCCAGGAAAUGCUACCGUGCCACCUUAACUGGGAUAUAUAUGUUUACACUAAAUCAAUAAAGGUAUUUUUUUUACCUAUGCAAUUUGUAAUAUUAUCAAUAAAAAGUUGAUUAAGUGCAAGUAGAAUAAAAACAGCCCUUAAAUUUCACCCCUGGGAGUGAAAAUUGCUGAUUCAGCAAAUUUUGCCUGAUCUGUGGGUAAUAAUGUUAAAAUUUACCAAGAAAGUAAAAUUUCUUUAUUUUUAAGUAACUUGCAAUACAUUUUAAAUUAUAAAGUUUCGCUUUAACUUUUCGCAGUGUCUGACACAUGUGCAACAACUGGAAUUUGAGACGCGACAUAUUUUAGUUGCCUGUACGUCCUAUAAUUUUCACCGUAAUAAAUAAAGUGCAUAAUUUCUCAUUUUUUUCCACACAAGUACAGCUAUACUAGUUUUCUUCAGGUUUAAUUUGUAGUUCUGUGGUAACAUGACACCAGUAAGAGCUUUUUUGGAACUAGUAAGUGGUUAAGGGGUCCUUACUUAUUCAUUUAGCCCUCAUAUUUAGCUGAAAUAGGGAUAGCGUUAGGGGUUUCUUUACAUUGACAAGACAAUUUUUUGGACAAAGAAUGUGAUUAUGAUUGUAUAUCAGCAAGAUUAAAUAGUUUAUUCAUUUUCCAUGCAAAUGGCAUUAAUUGUUUUAAUUUUCUGACACUGAAAAGCACAAAAAAGGUAAAUUGAUUAUAUAAGGGGACAUAAUUUAACUUUAAUGCUCACAUGAGAAAUAGACAAUCAGUCAACUUAGAGAUGUAUUCUAGUACAUGUAUAGUCAAAAAGAUUUUAGAAUAAUAGUUAACUGCCAUCUAAAGAACCUUGUUGUAUUGCCUUCAUAAUCUGGAAAUGCUUAAAGGAAUGUAAGGCAUGCUGUAAAAUGUGGAAUGGACUCUACUAUCAUUUUUCAUGAUUUGGUGCUUAAACUGUUUCUUUCAGUCAGAUUAACUAUAAAUAGAGUUGGCAAUCCAAUAACUCCUCCUUAAUCACCAUGUUUUACUUCUGUGUUGAUUUGAAACAUCAUAUAUUUGGGUUUUGUUCACUCCUUAAGUAAAAAUGGUAAGAUGAAAAAAAAGUGAAAAUCUGCCAGCUGGGGUAGGGGUAUAAUCUUUAAUAUUUAUUUGGUAAGAAAUAAGUGCAGACUAGUAUUCUUUAUUGUAAUAUGUUUCCUAGUAAGAAGUCUAUGCAUCAUAGGUGUCAUGACUGUUUUCAAGUUUGUGAUGUCUUGGUUAAGGUAGCACGGUAGUAUUUGCAUUCCGGAAUUUAGGUUGCUCUUUUGUGUACCCUACCUAAGUCAAUGUAUCUGAACAGUGUGAUUGGACAAAAAAUACAGUAUCAACUGAACAUACUUUCCCAAACUGAGGGAUGAAUCAGAUGUAGAAAAAUGUGAAAUAAUUUUACAUACAGGUGAAAAUGAAUUUUUGAGAAUUUUUUUAAUUUUUGUAUUCACUGCAUGAUAAAAGACCUAAAAGCACUAGUGGCCUUAGGUUUUUAAAAAUAGCAAAAAAAGUAAACGGUCAUGAUACAUAUUCAAAUUUAUUUCUGAUUAGUAUAAUGAAAGUACUUCAGUUAACUGUGUAAGUAGAAUUUUUCGCAGUGUUAGAAAGUGGUGAAAAUCCUAAAAAGGCUAUCAUUAUCCCUUAUGGGCCAGGAAAUGCUACCGUGCCACCUUAACUGGGAUAUAUAUGUUUACACUAAAUCAAUAAAGGUAUUUUUUUUACCUAUGCAAUUUGUAAUAUUAUCAAUAAAAAGUUGAUUAAGUGCAAGUAGAAUAAAAACAGCCCUUAAAUUUCACCCCUGGGAGUGAAAAUUGCUGAUUCAGCAAAUUUUGCCUGAUCUGUGGGUAAUAAUGUUAAAAUUUACCAAGAAAGUAAAAUUUCUUUAUUUUUAAGUAACUUGCAAUACAUUUUAAAUUAUAAAGUUUCGCUUUAACUUUUCGCAGUGUCUGACACAUGUGCAACAACUGGAAUUUGAGACGCGACAUAUUUUAGUUGCCUGUACGUCCUAUAAUUUUCACCGUAAUAAAUAAAGUGCAUAAUUUCUCAUUUUUUUCCACACAAGUACAGCUAUACUAGUUUUCUUCAGGUUUAAUUUGUAGUUCUGUGGUAACAUGACACCAGUAAGAGCUUUUUUGGAACUAGUAAGUGGUUAAGGGGUCCUUACUUAUUCAUUUAGCCCUCAUAUUUAGCUGAAAUAGGGAUAGCGUUAGGGGUUUCUUUACAUUGACAAGACAAUUUUUUGGACAAAGAAUGUGAUUAUGAUUGUAUAUCAGCAAGAUUAAAUAGUUUAUUCAUUUUCCAUGCAAAUGGCAUUAAUUGUUUUAAUUUUCUGACACUGAAAAGCACAAAAAAGGUAAAUUGAUUAUAUAAGGGGACAUAAUUUAACUUUAAUGCUCACAUGAGAAAUAGACAAUCAGUCAACUUAGAGAUGUAUUCUAGUACAUGUAUAGUCAAAAAGAUUUUAGAAUAAUAGUUAACUGCCAUCUAAAGAACCUUGUUGUAUUGCCUUCAUAAUCUGGAAAUGCUUAAAGGAAUGUAAGGCAUGCUGUAAAAUGUGGAAUGGACUCUACUAUCAUUUUUCAUGAUUUGGUGCUUAAACUGUUUCUUUCAGUCAGAUUAACUAUAAAUAGAGUUGGCAAUCCAAUAACUCCUCCUUAAUCACCAUGUUUUACUUCUGUGUUGAUUUGAAACAUCAUAUAUUUGGGUUUUGUUCACUCCUUAAGUAAAAAUGGUAAGAUGAAAAAAAAGUGAAAAUCUGCCAGCUGGGGUAGGGGUAUAAUCUUUAAUAUUUAUUUGGUAAGAAAUAAGUGCAGACUAGUAUUCUUUAUUGUAAUAUGUUUCCUAGUAAGAAGUCUAUGCAUCAUAGGUGUCAUGACUGUUUUCAAGUUUGUGAUGUCUUGGUUAAGGUAGCACGGUAGUAUUUGCAUUCCGGAAUUUAGGUUGCUCUUUUGUGUACCCUACCUAAGUCAAUGUAUCUGAACAGUGUGAUUGGACAAAAAAUACAGUAUCAACUGAACAUACUUUCCCAAACUGAGGGAUGAAUCAGAUGUAGAAAAAUGUGAAAUAAUUUUACAUACAGGUGAAAAUGAAUUUUUGAGAAUUUUUUUAAUUUUUGUAUUCACUGCAUGAUAAAAGACCUAAAAGCACUAGUGGCCUUAGGUUUUUAAAAAUAGCAAAAAAAGUAAACGGUCAUGAUACAUAUUCAAAUUUAUUUCUGAUUAGUAUAAUGAAAGUACUUCAGUUAACUGUGUAAGUAGAAUUUUUCGCAGUGUUAGAAAGUGGUGAAAAUCCUAAAAAGGCUAUCAUUAUCCCUUAUGGGCCAGGAAAUGCUACCGUGCCACCUACACUCAAUAUUAAGUGUAGUAUUGCGGAGCAUGUACGGAACGGAUAUGAACUCUGCGCCGGAGAUUGGCACUAAAGACCAAAAUAGCAUUUCCAAAAAAAAUAAUUACUGCCAAGAAAUUUGACAAUCAUGACAAUAAUUUAGUGAAUAAACAUGAUAAAUAUUGAUUGGAAAAAUAAGUCCAUGAACAGCAAAAAGUGUUUUUAGAUUUCAACGAGCAAAACAAGUAUUCUAAAUCAAUCUUCGUAAAAAAAAAAGUGAGCGAGUGGAACCACCUUGCUCGCACCAAAAUUGAGAUUGAGAGUGUCAAAACUGCUCUGGCACACCAUCAAUAAAUCAACGACACUCUCUCUACCGUGGUAUUGAAACCAGCAUUGGUAACCAAACAUAUUCAUACAGAUACAGACUACCAUUCAUCUACAUUUAGGAAGUCUGAAUAAUACUGAAAACUAUGGUGUAGAAUUUCCAACAGGACUCCUUAUUUUAUAUAAGACAAGGAGUGGUUUAUUUUCCCAUGGUUGUUACAUCAUCUUGUCUUUGAAUAUGCUCGAAGUACAGGGACUUUUAUGGAAUUCAUUGACAUGAUAGUCAAGCAAGAUGUCAACAUCUCGUCCAACCCUCUUCCAGCAAAGCCAAAGCUGACCAAGGAUCUUCACCCUUUCAAAACAGGCUGUAUACAGGACGAGUUAUUCCAGUAGGAACAGGGCUAUAUAUAUGCAAGCAAUGCUCAAUUAAGAUGAUUUUUUGUAAAAGUGACAAUAGCCAGGUCAAACUAAAUACAUGUAUAGAAGAAGAUAUUGAUCUGGACUCGCAGCUAACCUUUCUGUCAGUGUCAACAACAACUGAACUUUCACAGCAGUCAACAUCAGAUUGGGAGACUGAUUAUGCUUCUAACAGAAACAAUUUCAACCAACCAAACAAGCAACAGAAACUUUCCAACUUUAAAACAUCAGUUAAAUCUUCCAUGGGAUGAUGUCUCAAAAAAUAACAGUUCAUCAUUUAUGGAGAUUUUAAUGUUAUGGUUUUUCUUUUACAAGAAAGUUAAUGUACACUUGUUUUAUAGUAAAACCUAUAGCCGUUCAAGUAUAAAAAAACACAUUCAACUUUAUUGAAAUUUGAAGAUUCAUAUGACUUAUUUUAAUUCUGUUAUCUCCGAGGAUGUGAUGUAGAGCAUUAUAGGUACAGUAAUCUUAACAGCUAUCCAAUUUCAUUCAAAAUUCUUUAUAAAUUUUGCACUGGUAUAUAUAGACUAAGUGAUUUGUUUUUUGUCUAGUUAUGGGAUUUUUUUAUACCCCACACAACGAGUUGCGGAGGGUAUAAUGUUUUUGACCCGUCCGUCUGUCUGUCCGUCAGUCCGUCAGUCCUGUUUCUUGUCAUCGCAACUCCUCUCAAACCACACAACAGAAUUUCACGAAACCUUUUUAGAUAAUAAGGACAUACUAUGUACACUGUAGUUGUGCAUAUAGACAGGAAGUUACGAUUCAAUUCAUUUUCUAGGAGUUAGGCCCCUUUGAACUAAUUUACUUUAAUGUACUUCUGCAACAGUUUGUCAUCACAACUCGUCUCAAACCACACAACAGAAUUUCAUGAAACCUUUUCAGAUAAUAAGGACAUACUACGUAGAUGUGCAUAUCGACAGGAAAUUACGAUUUAAUUUUUUUUCCAGGAGUUACGCCCCUUUGAACUUAAUUGCCCAAUAUACUACUGCAACCUUUUGUCAUCGCAACUCCUCUCAAACCACACAACAGAAUUUCAUGAAACCUUUUCAGAUAAUAAGGACAUACUACGUAGAUGUGCAUAUCGACAGGAAAUUACGUUUCAAUUUUUUUUCCAGGAAUUACGUCCCUUUGAACUUAUUUGCCCAAUAUACUACUGCAACCUUUUGUCAUCGCAACUCCUCUCAAACCACACAACAGAAUUUCAUGAAACUGUGUAGAUAAUAAGGACAUACUACGUUGAUGUGCAUAUUGACAGGAAGUUAUGAUUCAAUUUUUUUUUCUGAUACAAUUUUUUUUCUUACACUUAUUUUAUUUCUCCAAUGACAAUGUCUGGAAGUGGGGUAUGUGAGCGCGCUCACUAAGGUUCUUUCAUUUUAGAAGCAUUUAUGAUUUUCAUGUUUGUAUUGACCACAUUGCAGCAACAUAGAUAUAGGUACCUGGCAAAUCUUGCCUUGUUAGCAUACUAGGCUCAAAGGGUCAUAAAAAAAUUUCCAUCACUAAGUGUCUGUUAAAAUCAUCUGUGUACAGUUUUCACUUUUAAUCUUAAUAACUUUAGAAGUGUCAUACAUAUAUAUAUAUUGAAGACCUGUUGGUGGCCUUCUGCUGUUGUCUGUUCUGUGGUCGGGUUGUUGUCUCUUUGACACAUUCCCCAUUUCCAUUCUCAAUUUUAUGUAUACAAAAUUUAAAAACUUUUCAAUAUAUAUAUUUAUAUAUAUAUAUUGAUAAAAACUAUCAACAUGACAAGAUCUAAAUACCCAAAAUUUUUCUGAAAAAUUGGACAUAACAUCUAUGAGCUAUUGUCCCUGAAAUGUGUAAAUUUACAAAUUUUCACAGUUUUCUGCUACUAUCCAACAACUAUAUCAAUAUAUUAUAAGAAUAAAUUGCAAAAGUGGUCAGAAGAAACUUUUUUUUUACAGUCUGAACUUAUUCUGAAUUGUUUAACUUCUAAUUUAAAUUGAUUGCGUUUGAAAUAUGUGUUUUUUAUCGUUUUAGGUUCACAAUUUGUCAAGACGAUCUAUUUCGGCUCCUGGGAGCCUCUAGAUUUAUAAUGAAUAAUUUGUAUUUAUGUAUGAUUAUUUUCUUAAUGUAUUAAAUGAAACAUUAAUUAUUCUU